This 467-nucleotide ribosomal RNA is filed under the name uncultured bacterium. RNAcentral describes it as "partial 16S ribosomal RNA". It matches the Rfam family "Bacterial small subunit ribosomal RNA", at positions 28 to 506 of the family's 1533-position model. The record is from RNAcentral.
GACGAACGCUGGCGGCGUGCUUAACACAUGCAAGUCGAACGGAAAGGCCCUGCUUUUGUGGGGUGCUCGAGUGGCGAACGGGUGAGUAACACGUGAGUAACCUGCCCUUGACUUUGGGAUAACUUCAGGAAACUGGGGCUAAUACCGGAUAGGAGCUCCUGCUGCAUGGUGGGGGUUGGAAAGUUUCGGCGGUUGGGGAUGGACUCGCGGCUUAUCAGCUUGUUGGUGGGGUAGUGGCUUACCAAGGCUUUGACGGGUAGCCGGCCUGAGAGGGUGACCGGCCACAUUGGGACGGAGAUACGGCCCAGACUCCUACGGGAGGCAGCAGUGGGGAAUAUUGCACAAUGGGCGGAAGCCUGAUGCAGCAACGCCGCGUGCGGGAUGACGGCCUUCGGGUGGUAAACCGCUUUCGCCUGUGACGAAGCGUGGGUGACGGUAAUGGGUAAAGAAGCACCGGCUAACUACGU